This 415-nucleotide ribosomal RNA is filed under the name uncultured bacterium. Its description in RNAcentral is "bacterial SSU rRNA". It matches the Rfam family "Bacterial small subunit ribosomal RNA", at positions 362 to 773 of the family's 1533-position model. The record is from RNAcentral.
UAUUGGUCAAUUGACGCGAGUCUGAACCAGCCAAGUAGCGUGAAGGAUGAUUGCCCUUUUGGUUGUAAACUUCUUUUAUAUGGGAAUAAAGUUUUCUACGUGUGGAAUUUUGUAUGUACCAUAUGAAUAAGGAUCGGCUAACUCCGUGCCAGCAGCCGCGGUAAUACGGAGGAUCCGAGCGUUAUCCGGAUUUAUUGGGUUUAAAGGGAGCGUAGGUGGACAGUUAAGUCAGUUGUGAAAGUUUGCGGCUCAACCGUAAAAUUGCAGUUGAUACUGGCAUCCUUGAGUACAGUAGAGGUAGGCGGAAUUCGUGGUGUAGCGGUGAAAUGCUUAGAUAUCACGAAGAACUCCGAUUGCGAAGGCAGCUCACUGGACUGUUAACUGACACUGAGGCUCGAAAGUGUGGGUAUCAAAC